AAAGGGCCCAUUUUACCACACUGUGAGAAAGACUCUGCUAGCUUAUUACACAUAGAUAAAGUGAGUGUAUAGGUUUAACCCUUUUAGUCUCGUUAAUGCUCAGGAGAAAGGAAAGGGUAUUCCUACUCAACUGCAGGAAGAAAGGCAUCCAUGGCUUUGGCCACAAUUCUGGUUCUUAAUGACUGAAUUGAAGGUAUUUGGGCACACAGAAGAUAGGAAGCUGAACUCCUCUAUGCUGAAAUGCAGAAAGAAAAAGCAAGAAAUGUUCUUUACUUUCAAAUGACACUGCAUCUUCUCCAACCUCUUUAGUGUCAGAUUAUUGAAGAGUGCAUUGAAUGUUCAAGUGAAUUAAAUAUAAAACAUGCGUGUAACACAAUACCUAACAGAAAGAUAUCUGCCCCAGGAAACCAGAAAUUCAGUGAACUCUUUUAAGGCAUUUCUCAGCCAAUAGUGUCAAUUUCAUGAUGAGAUGUUAUUAACAAGAAGAAUGCUUGAGGUUUGUAAAUUUAUUCUUGUCUUCCUUUUGCUUAUCUUGGAUAUAUUUGUAAAUUGCUGAUUUACCAUAUUAGUUUUGUUCCCAGA
RNAcentral lists this long non-coding RNA (582 nucleotides) under Homo sapiens (human). RNAcentral's name for it is "HSALNT0162880". Lineage: Eukaryota; Metazoa; Chordata; Mammalia; Primates; Hominidae. The record is from RNAcentral.